GACCGUGCAGUAAUUUGACAGGGCAAG
RNAcentral lists this small RNA (27 nucleotides) under Bombyx mori (domestic silkworm). RNAcentral's name for it is "ovarian small RNA-5079". The record is from RNAcentral. Lineage: Eukaryota; Metazoa; Arthropoda; Insecta; Lepidoptera; Bombycidae.